GGCUGUAGCUCAGUCGGUUAGAGCAUCGGACUCAUAAUCCGCCGGUCACUUGUCCGAUCAGCAGUGCCGCAAUCGUUGUGGCUGCCA
This 87-nucleotide transfer RNA is filed under the name Bifidobacterium pseudocatenulatum. RNAcentral's name for it is "tRNA-Ile". The record is from RNAcentral. RNAcentral also lists the same sequence under 2 other names. Lineage: Bacteria; Bacillati; Actinomycetota; Actinomycetes; Bifidobacteriales; Bifidobacteriaceae.